ACACUCUUUGUCCUUAUCUACCCAGCCACAGCUUCCAGUGCAAGUGUCCUUGUGCCCUGGUGCCUGAUAUCCAGCUCCGGCAGCCUAGAAAAUCAGUUAGGCUUUUCAGUCACAGCACCCUCUGUGACAAACGUGUGGAGCACCGCACGACUUCUUCAACCAGCUGGUUUUUCUGGCAUUCGAAUAAAAGUAAAAAUAGAAAACAAAGAGGGAGAAGAAAAGUGACAAGCUGAAACCUGCGAAGAGAAAGAGGACAAGAAAUGAACAAGUUGAUCUGGUCUUGAGGGAGGAGGAGGCACAGGAACACAGUAAAGGAACCUAUCUGAGGAGCUGCAGACAUGAACCAACAAAGCCAGAAGAGCCUGAAGCAAUACUGCAAGUGGGUGCUUUGGUACUGCUUUGAAGCAUCUUUCCAGACUCUGCAGUAGCCAAGGCCUGUGACUCCAGUCCCUGAGAAAGUACCAUCAGGAGCAAUACACAAAUUGCUUACCAAUAUGGAAAUCACCAUAAAGUAAUCAACUGCAACACAUUCUUUGACAUGAGAAGGGAAUUAGAAGAAAGGAUUGCUUCAAAGAGUUUGGUAGCACACUUUAUAUAAACCCCCCUUUUUUUAAUUAACAAAAUGGUUUGGAGUCAUUUUUCUACCACUAGGUAAUUAUGUGAGUGUGAUCUAUAAUCUUCCUCCUGAAAAUUGUUUAUGUCCUAAUUCCCAGGUCAAAUUGAUAGACACCUCUCAAACCACGUGAUAUGGUUUGGAUUUGUGUCCCUGACCUCUUAAGUCAAAUUGUAAUCCCCAAUGUUGGAGGAGGGACCUGGUGGGAGGUGAUUAUAUCAUGGGGGCGGAUUUCCCCCUUGCUAAUCUCAUGAUAGUGAUGAGCGAGUUCUCAUGAGAUCUUGUUGCUUAAAAGCGUGUAGCACCUCCCACUUCUAUCUCUUUCUCCUGCUCUACUUAUGUAAGAUGUGCCUGCUUUGCCUUUCGCCAUGAUUGUAAGUUUCCUGAGACCUCCCCAGCCAUUCUUCCUGUACAGCCUGCAUAACCAUGAGCCAAUUAAACCUCUUUUCUUUAUAAAUUACUGUUUCAGGUAUUUCUUUAUAGCAGUUUAAGAAUGAACUAAUACACCACCCAAUCAGCAAGGCUUUAAAUAAGAAUAAUGCUUCCACACCAGGACUUCCCUAUUCUCAAGAGGACUUUGAGGUUGACUCUGAGGCUUCUAAUUAGAUAACAGUGAUUCCUAGGGCAAGAAUCACUUGCAUGCUGAUAAAAGCCAGGGAGGCUCAGAGAAGCUAGAAACAACUGGAUCAUCAACACAAACUACUGCACUCCACUGGAAUUGAACAAAGACCUUUGCUGAAAUGCCCUAGCCAGCAAGAAAUGGUAACAUUCAGAUGAGAGAUGACCUUCAAGCAAGUACUGGUUAGAGUAUACAUGAGAAGCUAAAGGAAACCAGAAAAAUGAGAACCAUUUGAUUCUCUACAUACAAACUACCUAUGGAAGCCCAGAGAAAUGACUUCUGGCUUAGUAGUUUGCAGCCACUCUCACUCCUCCAAAAUUUGCAGUUUAAAUUUUCACCGUCUCCAACCUCAGGUCUAAGUUCCUCAAGUAGUAUAAAACAUGGAAACAGUAAUAGAUGGAGAAAGAAAGUAAAUUGAGAUUCUUACUCGAGGGAAUUUAUAAAAUUCAGUAUCUAUGAUUCAACUGUAGCAAAUGUAAUUUAACUUUUUUUUUAAGUUUAAUAACAGAGCAGCUUCUCUGUAAGCCACAAAGUUGGCAUCUGAAAAAGUUCUGAUAAACAGUUCAAGCUGUAUGGAAUGUCAUCUCUAGUACUUCUUAAUGCUCUUUAUUUGGUAUUUUGCAUGGUGUGAUGGAAUCAUUUCUUUUUCUUUUACCUGGCAAUGUAAUACUAUCUGUGAAUUCUCAUGGGUUCUAAGAAUAUGAAAAAUAACUUGCAAAAUGAUGUUUUCAGAUAUCUUUCUAGUCUAUGUUAAUAUAAAAUAUCUCACCUUCAUGUUUGAAGCUCUCCAAUCAAAAUGUGCAAAGAGAAGGAAGUGGUUUUAAAGUAUGGGACUUUCAAGGAAUGAUACAGGACUGUGUGGGGCAUGGCAUGUAGGCUUAGGAUAGUAUGAGGGAAGUAAGUGUUUAGAAGUUGGAAAGAAAAGCACCAUGAUGUAAGAGAUAAACCAACAAAAGGUAUGGCGGAUGCCAAGCAGAAACUGUCCAUCUCCAUAUUUAUUAAGGAUCAUCUUGUACCCAAUAAAGUGGGUUUUUUUAAACAGAUAUCUUUCAUUUAUACCAGGUUUCAACCUACUACCUAUUAUGGCUUCUAAUCUUGUCCAUUAAUUUGUGUGUUUUUGUCAAUUUAAUAAGUUUUAUUAGCUAGUUUAUAAAUAGGAUUUUGUGGAGCAGUUUGGAAAUUCAACCAUCACUGACUGUGUUGCUCCUAUAAACAAAUUACAGUUCAGAUUAAAAAAAAAACAUUUAGAACACACUCUAUUUAAAAGUCAAGAGGCUGGUGGGGAGAGGAAAUGGACAGUUAUUGUGUAAUGGAUAUAGAGUUUCAGUUUUGCAACAUGAAAAAGAGUUCUGGAGAUAAAUGGCAAUGAUGGCUGUACCACAUUAGGAAUAUACUUAAUGUCACUGAAUUGUAUAUUCAAAAUGGUUAAGAUGGUAAAUUUAAUGUUAUGUAUAUUUUACCAUAUUAAAA
This 2702-nucleotide long non-coding RNA is filed under the name Homo sapiens (human). RNAcentral's name for it is "non-protein coding lnc-RPL24-2:5". Lineage: Eukaryota; Metazoa; Chordata; Mammalia; Primates; Hominidae. The record is from RNAcentral.